This 786-nucleotide ribosomal RNA is filed under the name Staphylococcus aureus. RNAcentral's name for it is "partial 23S ribosomal RNA". It matches the Rfam family "Bacterial large subunit ribosomal RNA", at positions 775 to 1561 of the family's 2925-position model. Lineage: Bacteria; Bacillati; Bacillota; Bacilli; Caryophanales; Staphylococcaceae. The record is from RNAcentral.
CGAACCGACUUACGUUGAAAAGUGAGCGGAUGAACUGAGGGUAGCGGAGAAAUUCCAAUCGAACCUGGAGAUAGCUGGUUCUCUCCGAAAUAGCUUUAGGGCUAGCCUCAAGUGAUGAUUAUUGGAGGUAGAGCACUGUUUGGACGAGGGGCCCCUCUCGGGUUACCGAAUUCAGACAAACUCCGAAUGCCAAUUAAUUUAACUUGGGAGUCAGAACAUGGGUGAUAAGGUCCGUGUUCGAAAGGGAAACAGCCCAGACCACCAGCUAAGGUCCCAAAAUAUAUGUUAAGUGGAAAAGGAUGUGGCGUUGCCCAGACAACUAGGAUGUUGGCUUAGAAGCAGCCAUCAUUUAAAGAGUGCGUAAUAGCUCACUAGUCGAGUGACACUGCGCCGAAAAUGUACCGGGGCUAAACAUAUUACCGAAGCUGUGGAUUGUCCUUUGGACAAUGGUAGGAGAGCGUUCUAAGGGCGUUGAAGCAUGAUCGUAAGGACAUGUGGAGCGCUUAGAAGUGAGAAUGCCGGUGUGAGUAGCGAAAGACGGGUGAGAAUCCCGUCCACCGAUUGACUAAGGUUUCCAGAGGAAGGCUCGUCCGCUCUGGGUUAGUCGGGUCCUAAGCUGAGGCCGACAGGCGUAGGCGAUGGAUAACAGGUUGAUAUUCCUGUACCACCUAUAAUCGUUUUAAUCGAUGGGGGGACGCAGUAGGAUAGGCGAAGCGUGCGAUUGGAUUGCACGUCUAAGCAGUAAGGCUGAGUAUUAGGCAAAUCCGGUACUCGUUAAGGCUGAGC